UUUCCUUCCUUUUUUCUUCUAGCCUUGUUUCACAGCACGGUUUCACAAAUAUUUGCAUCAGCACCACUGAGGAGGUGUACAACUGCAGCACAGAAAUGGGAAUGAACAGCAGGGACAGGAAAGCGUGGCAGUGUCUUAAACCAGCCUUGCUGCUGGAAAAAUAUAACUGUAAGCCUCAAGCUGAACUUCUCUCAAUGGGAGAAACUUGGUAAUGAGAAAAUGCAUACUCUCCAUGGUUUCGUGAGGCUGAAGUAUUGAAAGGGAAGACACUGGGGUGUAGCUUGUAUCAACCCCCCUGGAAGCAGCCAGCUGGUCAAGUGGGCAGGGCUUCCUCUGCAUUUGCCUCUCUGCAGCACCUGAGUUGGGGGCUCUGCUGGCCAGCCCUCCCUGGAGGCAGCUUGCUAGGCUCUGGGAGCAAGGAGGCCAGGAAGGUUUUCAGUUCGUUACUGCCCAAACAACUUCAUUACUCUGCAGUACUAUGUCAGAACGUACCUUUCCUGAGGCGAUGCGUCCUCUGAGUGACGGGCUGGAGGGAGCUGCUCUGGGAUUCRGCGCAGAAGUAGGCAACGCGGCAAUUAGCAGAAGGGCAACAGCUGCAUUUUAG
RNAcentral lists this long non-coding RNA (604 nucleotides) under Dromaius novaehollandiae (emu). RNAcentral's name for it is "lncRNA (ENSDNVG00000011567.1)". Lineage: Eukaryota; Metazoa; Chordata; Aves; Casuariiformes; Dromaiidae. The record is from RNAcentral.